AGCGAACGCUGGCGGCAGGCCUAACACAUGCAAGUCGAACGAACCUUUCGGGGUUAGUGGCGGACGGGGGAGUAACACGUGGGAACGUGCCUUUAGGUUCGGAAUAACUCAGGGAAACUUGUGCUAAUACCGAAUGUGCUCUUCGGGGGAAAGAUCUAUCGCCUGUAGAGCGGCCCGCGUCUGAUUAGCUAGUUGGUUGAGGUAAUGGCUCACCAAGGCGACGAUCAGUAGCUGGUCUGAGAGGAUGAUCAGCCACAUUGGGACUGAGACACGGCCCACACUCCUACGGAAGGCAGCAGUGGGGAAUCUUGCGCAAUGGGCGAAAGCCUGACGCAGCCAUGCCGCGUGAAUGAUGAAGGUCUUAGGAUUGUAAAAUUCUUUCACCGGGGACGAUAAUGACGGUACCCGGAGAAGAAGCCCCGGCUAACUUCGUG
RNAcentral lists this ribosomal RNA (434 nucleotides) under uncultured bacterium. Its description in RNAcentral is "partial 16S ribosomal RNA". It matches the Rfam family "Bacterial small subunit ribosomal RNA", at positions 29 to 507 of the family's 1533-position model. The record is from RNAcentral.